UGAGUGGCGGACGGGUGAGUAACGCGUGGGUAACCUGCCUUAUACAGGGGGAUAACAGUUAGAAAUGACUGCUAAUACCGCAUAAGCGCACAGGAUUGCAUGAUCUGGUGUGAAAAACUCCGGUGGUAUAAGAUGGACCCGCGUCUGAUUAGCUGGUUGGUGAGGUAACGGCCCACCAAGGCGACGAUCAGUAGCCGACCUGAGAGGGUGACCGGCCACAUUGGGACUGAGACACGGCCCAAACUCCUACGGGAGGCAGCAGUGGGGAAUAUUGCACAAUGGGGGAAACCCUGAUGCAGCGACGCCGCGUGAGCGAAGAAGUAUUUCGGUAUGUAAAGCUCUAUCAGCAGGGAAGAAAAAAAUGACGGUACCUGACUAAGAAGCCCCGGCUAACUACGUGCCAGCAGCCGCGGUAAUACGUAGGGGGCAAGCGUUAUCCGGAUUUACUGGGUGUAAAGGGAGCGCAGGCGGUGCGGCAAGUCUGAUGUGAAAGCCCGGGGCUCAACCCCGGGACUGCAUUGGAAACUGUCGUACUUGAGUAUCGGAGAGGUAAGUGGAAUUCCUAGUGUAGCGGUGAAAUGCGUAGAUAUUAGGAGGAACACCAGUGGCGAAGGCGG
This 617-nucleotide ribosomal RNA is filed under the name uncultured bacterium. RNAcentral describes it as "bacterial SSU rRNA". It matches the Rfam family "Bacterial small subunit ribosomal RNA", at positions 92 to 724 of the family's 1533-position model. The record is from RNAcentral.